Long non-coding RNA from Physella acuta, 704 nucleotides. RefSeq lists it as uncharacterized. The record is from RefSeq and is a predicted model, not a curated record. NCBI's taxonomy places the organism in Eukaryota, Metazoa, Mollusca, Gastropoda, Physidae.
UUUUCUUCUUAAAGGUUGUGUACCCUUAUAGGACUUCCAUGGAACAGGAGUAAAAGAGCUUGACCAUGAGUUUCACAAAUGCUAUCAUGAAAUACAACUGACAUGGAACUGUUUGCAUUAUCCAAGAUAUCAACAUUGUUCUUCGGUGACCAAAGGCUAUGUAUGCACAUUCAGAAAGAAACAAAGAGCUGAAGUUGGAGCUAUAUUGCACAUAACAGGUUGACAUACUUGUGCUGGAGGAAAUUCACUUCAAUAUUCAGGGAUGUGACUUGACUGAUUUUUUUUGAGGAAAUCCUUUUUUUCAAUUUGAGCUUUAGUUUUCCCCCUCGCCUCUAUCAAAAUCCAUACCUUUUCAGAUAGUUGUUUAGAGCCGCCAUACCUUUUCAGAUAGUUGUUUAGAGCCGCCAGAUAUUAUCUAAUGAUUUUUCACUUUGCUUGGGAAACAAGUUCUCUUUUUUUUAAAGCAGAGUUGUGACCAAAGUUUAACUGAACAUGCAAACUAACAUAGAUAGCUCUUCUGAAGAAAUCUGGGUAAUUAUUCAUGCAUUUCAUCUGCAUGUUUACAAGUGUUGUGUCCAAGUGUAAAUGAAAGUAUAGAAUCUACUGGGACAAUUUAAUUUCUAUUAAGUUCAAGUUAGCAAAAAGUAAUUUAAGUGGUAUUUACACUGCAUGCCAAGCCAAAGGUUGAGGUCUUUGAUUAGCAA